GCGGGAAUGCCAGAGUGGUCAAAUGGGGCAGACUCAAAAUCUGCUGGCUUAGUGCCUUCGAAGGUUCGAAUCCUUUUUCCCGCA
This 84-nucleotide transfer RNA is filed under the name Nanobdellota archaeon. Its description in RNAcentral is "tRNA-Leu". It matches the Rfam family "tRNA". From Rfam's summary of the family: Transfer RNA (tRNA) molecules are approximately 80 nucleotides in length. The record is from RNAcentral. Lineage: Archaea; Nanobdellati; Nanobdellota.